This is a non-coding RNA of Pelobates cultripes (western spadefoot toad), 151 nucleotides long. The record is from the annotation of a GenBank genome assembly. NCBI's taxonomy places the organism in Eukaryota, Metazoa, Chordata, Amphibia, Anura, Pelobatidae.
AGAACUUCCUCAGGGACCACAAUUAAAAACAAUCAGCAUGUAUCAAUAUACAAUACAUAAAUAAACAUAUCCUACCAUAGGAUAUGUUUAUUUAUGUAUUGUAUAUUGAUACAUGCUGAUUGUUUUUAAUUGUGGUCCCUGAGGAAGUUCU